This 320-nucleotide ribosomal RNA is filed under the name Listeria monocytogenes. RNAcentral describes it as "bacterial SSU rRNA". It matches the Rfam family "Bacterial small subunit ribosomal RNA", at positions 1223 to 1533 of the family's 1533-position model. Lineage: Bacteria; Bacillati; Bacillota; Bacilli; Caryophanales; Listeriaceae. The record is from RNAcentral.
UGCUACAAUGGAUAGUACAAAGGGUCGCGAAGCCGCGAGGUGGAGCUAAUCCCAUAAAACUAUUCUCAGUUCGGAUUGUAGGCUGCAACUCGCCUACAUGAAGCCGGAAUCGCUAGUAAUCGUGGAUCAGCAUGCCACGGUGAAUACGUUCCCGGGCCUUGUACACACCGCCCGUCACACCACGAGAGUUUGUAACACCCGAAGUCGGUAGGGUAACCUUUAUGGAGCCAGCCGCCGAAGGUGGGACAGAUAAUUGGGGUGAAGUCGUAACAAGGUAGCCGUAUCGGAAGGUGCGGCUGGAUCACCUCCUUUCUAAGGAA